UACCUACGGGAGGCAGCAGUAGGGAAUCUUCCACAAUGGGCGAAAGCCUGAUGGAGCAACGCCGCGUGGGUGAAGAAGGUCUUCGGAUCGUAAAGCUCUGUUGUAAGUCAAGAACGGGUGUGAGAGUGGAAAGUUCACACUGUAACGGUAGCUUACCAGAAAGGGACGGCUAACUACGUGCCAGCAGCCGCGGUAAUACGUAGGUCCCGAGCGUUGUCCGGAUUUAUUGGGCGUAAAGCGAGCGCAGGCGGUUUGAUAAGUCUGAAGUUAAAGGCUGUGGCGCAACCAUAGUUCGCUCUGGAAAC
This 305-nucleotide ribosomal RNA is filed under the name uncultured bacterium. RNAcentral describes it as "bacterial SSU rRNA". It matches the Rfam family "Bacterial small subunit ribosomal RNA", at positions 335 to 633 of the family's 1533-position model. The record is from RNAcentral.